Molecule: long non-coding RNA, 727 nt
Organism: Ipomoea nil (Japanese morning glory)
Lineage: Eukaryota; Viridiplantae; Streptophyta; Magnoliopsida; Solanales; Convolvulaceae
Exons: 2
Source: RefSeq, a predicted model, not a curated record
UUAGUCUUAUUUCCAGGUUUCACGGGCACGAUUCUUUUGUUCUCGUCUGUCCGAGUAUCGAAGGCUCUCCUUGCGUUGUAGGCUUCCUCGCUUCGCGCCGUUUUCGUCGAUUCUUCCUUCUAUUUUCACUUCCACGUAGUGAUGGUAAUCAGUGGGGGCCGUGGCUUAUCAAAGAGGCGGUGACCACCGGAGAAAGAUGUCGGGCGAGGUACAUGUUGACUUCUUCUUCCGCGUUUUUUUUUGGGAGUGUUUAAAAGGGAAUGUGGUUACUAAGACCACGGUGUCGGGUGGCCCGGUUUGUGCGCCCCCGGUUAAAGCGGUGCGUCCCGUUAAGCCUUCUGGAGUUUCUAUCCCCGUUGUUGCUGCUCGGCUUCAUUAUCAACCGUCCGGCACUUGUGAAUCAGUUGUGUUUCCCAUGCCUGACCUUCUGGAGGAUGCUUUGAUAGUUAACUGGUUGUUGGGGGGAAACAUGUUAGUAUAGUGGUUUUCUUUGUUAUCGUGGGUUGCAUUCUGUAUUUAGUUACGUCUGUUUUGGGUUUUUGCUAUUGUGUGCACACGUAUAUUGCAAACUAUGCUCACUAUAGUUUUUGGUCAUACUACCUUUGUGCAUACAGAUACGUUUGUUUGUGCACAAUCUUCUUGUGCACAUUUUACUUGUUGAUGCUACUGUAACGUCACACAAGCAGUGUUUAAUUAAUGCUAACGUUAUUUUUGGGUUGGAUGGUAA